GAAAUGCGAUAAGUAAUGUGAAUUGCAGAAUUCAGUGAAUCAUCGAAUCUUUGAACGCACAUUGCGCCCGCCAGUAUUCUGGCUGGCAUGCCUGUUCGAGCGUCAUUUCAACCAUCAAGCCCCCGGGCUUGUGUUGGGGACCUGCGGCUGCCGCAGGCCCCGAAAACCAGUGGCGGGCUCGCUGUCACACCGGGCGUAGUAGAUUUUUCGUCUCGCCCAGGGCGUGCUGCGGGUUCCGGCCGUUAAAAAGCCUCUCUUUUAACCCAAGGUUGACCUCGGAUCAGGUAGGAAGACCCGCUGAACUUAAGC
Molecule: unclassified non-coding RNA, 309 nt
Filed under: plant metagenome
Description: partial contains 5.8S ribosomal RNA, internal transcribed spacer 2, and large subunit ribosomal RNA
Rfam family: 5.8S ribosomal RNA (bases 1-105)
Source: RNAcentral